RNAcentral lists this ribosomal RNA (432 nucleotides) under uncultured bacterium. Its description in RNAcentral is "partial 16S ribosomal RNA". It matches the Rfam family "Bacterial small subunit ribosomal RNA", at positions 29 to 507 of the family's 1533-position model. The record is from RNAcentral.
AACGAACGCUGGCGGCAUGCCUAACACAUGCAAGUCGAACGAGACCUUCGGGUCUAGUGGCGCACGGGUGCGUAACGCGUGGGAACCUGCCCUUAGGUUCGGAAUAACUCCCCGAAAGGGGUGCUAAUACCGGAUAAUGUCUUCGGACCAAAGAUUUAUCGCCUUUGGAUGGGCCCGCGUUGGAUAGCUAGUUGAUAGGGUAAAAGCCUACCAAGGCGACGAUCCAUAGCUGGUCUGAGAGGAUGAUCAGCCACACUGGGACUGAGACACGGCCCAGACUCCUACGGGAGGCAGCAGUGGGGAAUAUUGGACAAUGGGCGAAAGCCUGAUCCAGCAAUGCCGCGUGAGUGAUGAAGGCCUUAGGGUUGUAAAGCUCUUUUACCCGGGAUGAUAAUGACAGUACCGGGAGAAUAAGCUCCGGCUAACUCCGUG